RNAcentral lists this unclassified non-coding RNA (254 nucleotides) under fungal sp. RNAcentral's name for it is "partial internal transcribed spacer region". The stretch from base 1 to 46 matches the Rfam family "Eukaryotic small subunit ribosomal RNA", at positions 1786 to 1831 of the family's 1831-position model. Lineage: Eukaryota; Fungi. The record is from RNAcentral.
AAGUCGUAACAAGGUUUCCGUAGGUGAACCUGCGGAAGGAUCAUUACAAAUCCAUCCACGUCUCAUAUCCUGAGACCACGUUGAAAUGUUCCCCAGAGCCGCUUCCCUCUGGGCCGCCACCUGCUUCGGCAGGCCGGCCCCUUGGAUCAGGAUGCUCUGGGCUGUUAAACUAGUCACCUCUGUUGCUCAAAUGUAUCUUGAUUUCAAUCAAAUGAAAACUUGUACAACUUAUAACAACGGAUCUCUUGGCUCUC